Molecule: ribosomal RNA, 514 nt
Filed under: Siafumimus sp. JP-2017
Lineage: Eukaryota; Metazoa; Arthropoda; Insecta; Coleoptera; Staphylinidae
Description: partial 16S ribosomal RNA
Rfam family: Bacterial large subunit ribosomal RNA (bases 388-514)
Source: RNAcentral
GUCUUUUUGAAUUUUAUUUAAAGUCAAGCCUGCCCAAUGAGGUAUUGAAUGGCCGCAGUAUUUUGACUGUGCAAAGGUAGCAUAAUAAUUAGUUUCUUAAUUAGGGACUGGAAUGAAGGGUUAGACGAGAAAAUAACUGUCUUUAUAUAAAUGAAUUUAUAAUUUUAUUUUUAAGUUAAAAAGCUUAAAUAUUUUUAAAAGACGAGAAGACCCUAUAGAGUUUUAUUAAUAGAUAAUUAAUACUUAAAAUUGAAUUAUUUUAUUAUUAAUUAUUAGUUAAUUUGGUUGGGGUGAUUGAAAAAUUUAAUUAACUUUUUUUUUUAUAAAAACAUUAAUAUAUGAUUUAUUGAUCCAAUUUUUUUGAUUAUAAGAUUAAAUUACCUUAGGGAUAACAGCGUAAUUUCUUUUUAGAGUUCUUAUCGAUAAAGAAGUUUGCGACCUCGAUGUUGGAUUAAAAUUAAUGUUUGGUGUAGUAGCUAAAUUAUUAAGUCUGUUCGACUUUUAAAAUUUUACA